Molecule: long non-coding RNA, 1280 nt
Organism: Vitis vinifera (wine grape)
Lineage: Eukaryota; Viridiplantae; Streptophyta; Magnoliopsida; Vitales; Vitaceae
Exons: 4
Source: RefSeq, a predicted model, not a curated record
AUUGAAGAAGGUAAUGAAAAAUAAUUUUUUUUUCUCUCUCUAUGUGUAUAUAUAAAUUGAAUAAAAAAAUACAAACAAAAAAAGGGAGAGAAAUGUAGUGUUCGAGUUCUCUUAGUUGAUUUUAGGGCUCAGUUAGCUUCUUAACUGUUCCAUCAAUUUUUCAUUUUGAUUUUUCAGCAAUCAAAUAGAUUCUGUAGAAGAAAAUCUCAGUUUCAUGCAUGUACUAGAUUUUUUUUUUCUCUGUGCUUGUUCUUCUCUGGUAUUAUUAAUUCGUCUACGGAGUAAAAUUAGGGUUUUCGUGCUCUUUGUUUGGUUGCUGAGAAAUUGUAUGAAACAGAAAUGAAAAUUUUGAGAUGCUUUGUCGGGGUUUGUGCCGCGAGAGCUGCAAUUAAGGAGUGUUUGUGCCAUGAGAGCUAGAGAAACAGGAAUUGGAGGAGGUUAGGUUCAUGAUCGAUGUGAAUCUGAUGAGCAUAUUUCAUUUGAUUAAGGCAAAGGAUGAAGAAUUAGAAGAACGGUAGACUGGCGUCGAUCACCAUUAUAUCAUUGCUGAUAGGUCAGGCACAUCAACAAAGACAUUCUUAAAAGGGUGUUGAAACAUGGAAGAAGGAAACCAUAAUGAAAAAGGUAAUGGUACAAAGGAAGUAGAGUACAAGCCUCUUCCUGGAGGCCCAAGUAAUUAUGGCACUCAAAAUGCCACCAAGAAAUCUGAACUAGAGAUUGUACAAGAAGGAUCUUAAUCAACAAAACAACUAUAUUCUUAUCAUGAAGGACCUCAUUUUCCAGACCAGCAAAUGCAGCCAGAAUCAAUUAGUUUAUAAGGAAGAUUGAACUCACAAGCAAAAGAAAAAACUUCAAUCUACUAUCUCGGAUUCUACAACACACAAGUACCUUAAUAAACCAGGAACCACCCAUCAUUUUCGGAAGUCAUUGACCAUGCCAUCUCCCUCAGCAUCAACAAUAAUAGGGACGCAGAGAACAAUGGACAGAAAAUUGCCAAGAAGACAAUGCAACUUCUUGACUUCAUGGCACAGAAACUGUUCUAGAGGUUGGCACUUCUAGAAGUAGAGGAAAGAGGUUCACGUCAGAGUUGAAGUUUGCAAUUACUAGAGAUUUCAACCCUGAAAUGGUGAUAGGAGAAGGUGGGCGUAGUAAAGUGUACCUAAGAUGAUCAUGCUUUUGCUUUUACCCGAGUUUCCAAUAAGUUUUUCAAUUCUCACCUUUUAGAUUUUGUUUCAACAAUGGUAUAUAAUGAAGCACAAGAAGUUAUAGUUUUCCUUUUA